CGGGUGAGUAACACGUGAGGAACCUGCCCCGAAGACCGGGACAACACCGGGAAACCGGUGCUAAUACCGGAUACCUUCACCGGAUCGCAUGUUCUGGUGAAGAAAUGGAUUCCGCUUCGGGAUGGCCUCGCGGCCUAUCAGCUAGUUGGUGAGGUAACGGCUCACCAAGGCAACGACGGGUAGCUGGUCUGAGAGGAUGUCCAGCCACACUGGGACUGAGACACGGCCCAG
This 231-nucleotide ribosomal RNA is filed under the name uncultured bacterium. Its description in RNAcentral is "partial 16S ribosomal RNA". It matches the Rfam family "Bacterial small subunit ribosomal RNA", at positions 103 to 334 of the family's 1533-position model. The record is from RNAcentral.